RNAcentral lists this Y RNA (110 nucleotides) under Propithecus coquereli (Coquerel's sifaka). RNAcentral's name for it is "Y RNA (ENSPCOG00000011591.1)". It matches the Rfam family "Y RNA". From Rfam's summary of the family: Y RNAs are components of the Ro ribonucleoprotein particle (Ro RNP), in association with Ro60 and La proteins. The Y RNAs and Ro60 and La proteins are well conserved, but the function of the Ro RNP is not known. Lineage: Eukaryota; Metazoa; Chordata; Mammalia; Primates; Indriidae. The record is from Rfam by way of RNAcentral.
GGUUGGUCUGAAGGUAGUGAGUUAUCACUUGACUAUUCAGUCAGUUACAGAUUGAACUCCUUGUUCUACUACUGUCCCCCCUUCUCACUACUGCACUUGACUAGUCUGAA